GAUGAACGCUAGCGACAGGCCUAACACAUGCAAGUCGCGGGGCAGCAUGGAUGUCCUUUCGGGGACAUCUGAUGGCGACCGGCGUACGGGUGAGUAACGCGUAUCCAACCUGCCCUUUACAACGGGACAGCCCGUCGAAAGGCGGAUUAAUACCGUAUGUUGUCAUGUUGAUGCAUAUUUUCAUGACCAAAGGCUUCGGCCGGUAAAGGAUGGGGAUGCGUCUGAUUAGCUUGCCGGCGGGGUAACGGCCCACCGGGGCGACGAUCAGUAGGGGUUCUGAGAGGAAGGUCCCCCACAUUGGAACUGAGACACGGUCCAA
Molecule: ribosomal RNA, 319 nt
Filed under: uncultured bacterium
Lineage: Bacteria
Description: bacterial SSU rRNA
Rfam family: Bacterial small subunit ribosomal RNA
Source: RNAcentral